Unclassified non-coding RNA from Gorilla gorilla gorilla (western lowland gorilla), 94 nucleotides. It matches the Rfam family "Y RNA". Rfam says of the family: Y RNAs are components of the Ro ribonucleoprotein particle (Ro RNP), in association with Ro60 and La proteins. The record is from Ensembl. Lineage: Eukaryota; Metazoa; Chordata; Mammalia; Primates; Hominidae.
GGCUUUUCUGAUGGUAGUGGGUUAUCUGAACUUAUUAGCAUUAGUAUCACUAAAGUUGAUAUACAACCCCCCAGGCUAAAUUAGACUGGCAAAA